RNAcentral lists this ribosomal RNA (497 nucleotides) under uncultured bacterium. Its description in RNAcentral is "partial 16S ribosomal RNA". It matches the Rfam family "Bacterial small subunit ribosomal RNA", at positions 28 to 507 of the family's 1533-position model. The record is from RNAcentral.
GAUGAACGCUGGCGGCGUGCCUAAUACAUGCAAGUCGAGCGAACGGACGAGAAGCUUGCUUCUCUGAUGUUAGCGGCGGACGGGUGAGUAACACGUGGAUAACCUACCUAUAAGACUGGGAUAACUUCGGGAAACCGGAGCUAAUACCGGAUAAUAUUUUGAACCGCAUGGUUCAAAAGUGAAAGACGGUCUUGCUGUCACUUAUAGAUGGAUCCGCGCUGCAUUAGCUAGUUGGUAAGGUAACGGCUUACCAAGGCAACGAUGCAUAGCCGACCUGAGAGGGUGAUCGGCCACACUGGAACUGAGACACGGUCCAGACUCCUACGGGAGGCCGCAGUAGGGAAUCUUCCGCAAUGGGGGAAAGCCUGACGGAGCAACGCCGCGUGAGUGAUGAAGGUCUUCGGAUCGUAAAACUCUGUUAUUAGGGAAGAACAUAUGUGUAAGUAACUGUGCACAUCUUGACGGUACCUAAUCAGAAAGCCCCGGCUAACUACGUG